AUUGAACGCUGGCGGCAUGCUUUACACAUGCAAGUCGAACGGCAGCGCGGGCUUCGGCCUGGCGGCGAGUGGCGAACGGGUGAGUAAUGCAUCGGAACGUGCCCAGUAGUGGGGGAUAGCCCGGCGAAAGCCGGAUUAAUACCGCAUACGACCUGAGGGUGAAAGCGGGGGACCGAAAGGCCUCGCGCUAUUGGAGCGGCCGAUGUCGGAUUAGCCAGUUGGUGGGGUAAAGGCUUACCAAGGGGACGAUCCGUAGCUGGUCUGAGAGGACGACCAGCCACACUGGGACUGAGACACGGCCCAGACUCCUACGGGAGGCAGCAGUGGGGAAUUUUGGACAAUGGGGGCAACCCUGAUCCAGCCAUGCCGCGUGCGGGAAGAAGGCCUUCGGGUUGUAAACCGCUUUUGUUCGGGAAGAAAUCCUCUGGGCUAAUACCCCGGGGGGAUGACGGUACCGGAAGAAUAAGCACCGGCUAACUACGUG
RNAcentral lists this ribosomal RNA (484 nucleotides) under uncultured bacterium. RNAcentral's name for it is "partial 16S ribosomal RNA". It matches the Rfam family "Bacterial small subunit ribosomal RNA", at positions 28 to 507 of the family's 1533-position model. The record is from RNAcentral.